RNAcentral lists this ribosomal RNA (513 nucleotides) under uncultured bacterium. RNAcentral describes it as "partial 16S ribosomal RNA". It matches the Rfam family "Bacterial small subunit ribosomal RNA", at positions 28 to 507 of the family's 1533-position model. The record is from RNAcentral.
GACGAACGCUGGCGGCGUGCUUAACACAUGCAAGUCGAACGAAAAGAGGGAAAGAGCUUGCUCUUUCCGGAAUUGAGUGGCAAACGGGUGAGUAACACGUAAACAACCUGCCUUCAGGAUGGGGACAACAGACGGAAACGACUGCUAAUACCGAAUAAGUUCCAAGGGCCGCAUGGCCCAUGGAAGAAAAGGUGGCCUCUACCUGUAAGCUAUCGCCUGAAGAGGGGUUUGCGUCUGAUUAGCUGGUUGGAGGGGUAACGGCCCACCAAGGCGACGAUCAGUAGCCGGUCUGAGAGGAUGAACGGCCACGCUGGAACUGAGACACGGUCCAGACUCCUACGGGAGGCAGCAGUGGGGAAUCUUCCGCAAUGGGCGAAAGCCUGACGGAGCAACGCCGCGUGAGUGAUGACGGCCUUCGGGUUGUAAAACUCUGUGAUCCGGGACGAAAAGGCAGAGUGCGAAGAACAAACUGCAUUGACGGUACCGGAAAAGCAAGCCACGGCUAACUACGUG